GCCUCCCUAGUAUAUUAAUUACAAAUGACUUCCAAUCAUUAAAAUCUGGUCUAACCCCAGAGGAAGGCA
RNAcentral lists this transfer RNA (69 nucleotides) under Sarothrura rufa (red-chested flufftail). RNAcentral describes it as "tRNA-Gly". Lineage: Eukaryota; Metazoa; Chordata; Aves; Gruiformes; Rallidae. The record is from RNAcentral.